Molecule: unclassified non-coding RNA, 335 nt
Filed under: soil metagenome
Description: partial contains 5.8S ribosomal RNA, internal transcribed spacer 2, and large subunit ribosomal RNA
Rfam family: 5.8S ribosomal RNA (bases 3-120)
Source: RNAcentral
GGUGAAGAACGCAGCGAAAUGCGAUAAGUAAUGUGAAUUGCAGAAUUCAGUGAAUCAUCGAAUCUUUGAACGCACAUUGCGCCCAUUAGCAUUCUAGUGGGCAUGCCUGUUCGAGCGUCAUUUCAACCCUUAAGCCCUGUUGCUUAGCGUUGGGAGCCUACAGUACUGUAGCUCCCCAAAGUUAGUGGCGGAGUCGGUUUCACACUCUAGAAGUAGUAAUUUUUUCUCGUCUGUAGUUGAGCCGGUCCCCUGCCGUAAAACACCCAAUUUAUCAAGGUUGACCUCGGAUCAGGUAGGAAUACCCGCUGAACUUAAGCAUAUCAAUAAGCGGAGGA